Molecule: ribosomal RNA, 326 nt
Filed under: uncultured eukaryote
Lineage: Eukaryota
Description: partial 18S ribosomal RNA
Rfam family: Eukaryotic small subunit ribosomal RNA
Source: RNAcentral
CCCUUAGAUGUUCUGGGAUGCACGCGCGUUACACUGAUUCGUUCAACGAGUUUAUGACCUUGCCUGAUGAGGUGGGGGAAUCUUUUCAAAUCGCAUCGUGAUGGGGAUAGAGUAUUGUAACUGUUAGUCUUCAACGAGGAAUUCCUAGUAAGUACGUGUCAUCAGCUCGUACUGAUUAUGUCCCUGCCCUUUGUACGCACCGCCCGUCGCUCCUACCGAUUGAGUGCUCAGGUGAAUAGUAUGGACUGCAUCAGUGUUCGGUCUCCGAAUGUUGACGCGAGAAAUUCUGUGAAUCUUAUUGCUUAGAGGAAGGAGAAGUCGUAACA